GACGGGGGGGGCAAGUGUUCUUCGGAAUGACUGGGCGUAAAGGGCACGUAGGCGGUGAAUCGGGUUGAAAGUGAAAGUCGCCAAAAAGUGGCGGAAUGCUCUCGAAACCAAUUCACUUGAGUGAGACAGAGGAGAGUGGAAUUUCGUGUGUAGGGGUGAAAUCCGUAAAUAUACGAAGGAACGCCAAAAGCGAAGGCAGCUCUCUGGGUCCCUACCGACGCUGGGGUGCGAAAGCGUGGGGAGCGAUCCGG
This 251-nucleotide ribosomal RNA is filed under the name uncultured bacterium. RNAcentral's name for it is "partial 16S ribosomal RNA". It matches the Rfam family "Bacterial small subunit ribosomal RNA", at positions 524 to 776 of the family's 1533-position model. The record is from RNAcentral.